Molecule: microRNA precursor, 205 nt
Organism: Oryza sativa Japonica Group (Japanese rice)
Lineage: Eukaryota; Viridiplantae; Streptophyta; Magnoliopsida; Poales; Poaceae
Rfam family: MIR812 microRNA precursor family
Source: Rfam
UUUAAGCGCAACCAUAAAUUUAUGUGUCCAACUUUGAUUGUCCAUCUUAUUUAAAUUUUUUUAUGAUUAAUAUUUUUAUUGUUAUUAGAUGAUAAAACAUCCAUAGUAUUUCAUGCAUGACUUAUGUUUUUUAAAUUUUAUUAAAAAAUUUUAAAUAAGACAGAUGAUUAAAGUUGAAUAUAAAAACUCAAAGAUUGCGCUUAAA